UCAGGCAUUAGGCUAUCCAGUACGUGCCUUACAUCUGAAUGAAGAUGCUGUUGUUACGUGGAUUAAAUACUGACAUUAUCACAGUUCACUUCAUACAGAAAGAAUCUUGGUGUUUCUAGUAACGCAACAGGCUGGAGAGUGUUGGGGAGGCUCUAAUGGACAAAGUGAGAUUUGGAGGGAGAACCUUCAAAAAUUCUGUAAAAGUAGAUGGAGCAAUUUUUUCAGCUUUCUCUCUUCAAAUUAAGCUGCUGGCUUUGUGCUUAGAAGUUGUUCCUGAAAUUGUACCUCUCAGUCACUCCAUGGUGGUACAGCUGAGCAAAUUCAAUGGACCAGAAAAGUAACCUUUUCCUUCACUGUGGUAAUGGUUUCUCUUUGAAACAUUAGCGGAAGACUCAGAUUAUUCUUUCCUAUCUCAAUGGGUGUGAGACAAAAGAUUCAACUGGAUAAUCAUCUGCCUAAACAGUCUACAUAUAAAGGAUCCUGUUGUAUCUCCAGGAAAUUUUGGAGUUGAAGAUGGAUACUGGGUAAAGAGCACUAGGGAAGCAAGAAAGUCCAGGGAGCUUUCCAGCAAUAUUGCUGCUGCUAACUUUUCACAGGCUGCAUUUCUUCAGU
Passer domesticus (house sparrow) is the source of this 612-nucleotide long non-coding RNA. RefSeq lists it as uncharacterized. NCBI's taxonomy places the organism in Eukaryota, Metazoa, Chordata, Aves, Passeriformes, Passeridae. The record is from RefSeq and is a predicted model, not a curated record. The transcript has 3 exons.